GACGAACGCUGGCGGCGUGCCUAACACAUGCAAGUCGAACGAGAUCCAUGGGAGCUUGCUCCCGGAAGAUCUAGUGGCGAACGGGUGAGUAACACGUGAGAAACCUGCCCUGGAGUGGGGAAUAACUCGGGGAAACUCGAGCUAAUACCGCGUACCCUCAGAUGGUCGCAUGGCCGACUGAGGAAAGAACUUCGCUCUAGGAGGGUCUCGCGGCCUAUCAGCUAGUUGGUGGGGUAAUGGCCCACCAAGGCUACGACGGGUAGCUGGUUUGAGAGAACGAUCAGCCACACUGGGACUGAGACACGGCCCAGACUCCUACGGGAGGCAGCAGUGGGGAAUCUUGCGCAAUGGGCGAAAGCCUGACGCAGCAACGCCGCGUGCGGGAUGACGGCCUUCGUGGUUGUAAACCGCUUUCAGCAGGGACGAAAAUGACGGUAC
RNAcentral lists this ribosomal RNA (438 nucleotides) under uncultured Acidimicrobiales bacterium. Its description in RNAcentral is "bacterial SSU rRNA". It matches the Rfam family "Bacterial small subunit ribosomal RNA", at positions 28 to 478 of the family's 1533-position model. Lineage: Bacteria; Bacillati; Actinomycetota; Acidimicrobiia; Acidimicrobiales. The record is from RNAcentral.